GAGCCAAUGGAGAAGUUCCUGAUGCCCACACCUGCUGGUCUCACCGCUAGGGCCUGGGCAUCACAGGCAGGGGGAAUGGGGAGGGGACGGUAGCGUCAGCCUACACCCACACGCAGAAGCUGACAAUGACUGUUGGGCUUUUCCAAUGAAUACCAGAACACCAUUUCCUGCAGCCUGAAAAGAAGACAGUAUAAUUGUUUGGCAGCAAGAGAAUCCAGGUGCCCUUCCAUGAGAAGCCCAAGCCAUGUGGAGAAGCCACGUCUAGGGACUCCAGUUAACACUCUCAGCUGAGUCCCCAGCUGACAGUCAGCAUCAACUGCCAGCCACCUCUGUCUAAAAGUGGGCUAUCUUGGGCAUCCAGCCCAGUCAAGCCUUCAGAUGAGUCCAGUCCCAGCCACUAUCUCACACAACCACACGAGAGACAUCAAGAACUCCCAGUGGAGUCCAGUCAGCCCAUGGAACUGCAAGAGACAGGAUCUCGCUGCGUUGCUCAGACUGGUCUCGAACUCCUGGGCUUAAGGGAUUCUCCUGCCUCAAUCACAGCCUCCCAAGUAGCUGAGAUUAAAAGUGCUCACCACCGUGCCAGCGAGUUCAGUUUUUGAGGGUGGAGCCAAGACUCUGAGGAGAGGGCUGAACUGUGAACCUAGAAGUACCAUCUCCCCCUGCACACACCUUUGGUCAAGUUGACCCCAAGAAGAAGGACAAGUCCUCUGCACGGCGAUGAGGCCAUACACACAGUCUGUGGCCCGGCUUUGGGAGACUGAUGGGACAAAGGAUGUUUUGCACGAUCCUUGGUCUCUGAGCAAAUAUAUACAUGGGUUAACACAAA
RNAcentral lists this long non-coding RNA (829 nucleotides) under Homo sapiens (human). Its description in RNAcentral is "novel transcript". Lineage: Eukaryota; Metazoa; Chordata; Mammalia; Primates; Hominidae. The record is from RNAcentral.